AAACCAUGGUGUGGGCAUCUUUAGAUAAACAUCUUGAAACACUCUCAAGCUUCGUGAAAGCUUUCUCCUUCUAGCUGCUUAAAGGGGAACAAUCGAAGACGAGUAG
This is a non-coding RNA of Gossypium hirsutum (cotton), 106 nucleotides long. Lineage: Eukaryota; Viridiplantae; Streptophyta; Magnoliopsida; Malvales; Malvaceae. The record is from Rfam.